Molecule: unclassified non-coding RNA, 348 nt
Filed under: soil metagenome
Description: partial contains 5.8S ribosomal RNA, internal transcribed spacer 2, and large subunit ribosomal RNA
Rfam family: 5.8S ribosomal RNA (bases 1-120)
Source: RNAcentral
GAUGAAGAACGUAGCGAAAUGCGAUAAGUAAUGUGAAUUGCAGAAUUCAGUGAAUCAUCGAAUCUUUGAACGCACAUUGCGCCCGCCAGUAUUCUGGCGGGCAUGCCUGUCUGAGCGUCAUUUCAACCCUCAUGCCCCUAGGGCGUGGUGUUGGGGAGCGGCCAAAGCCCGCGAGGGACGGCCGGCCCCUAAAUCUAGUGGCGGACCCGUCGUGGCCUCCUCUGCGAAGUAGUGAUAUUCCGCAUCGGAGAGCGAUGAGCCCCUGCCGUUAAACCCCCAACUUUCCAAGGUUGACCUCAGAUCAGGUAGGAAUACCCGCUGAACGUAAGCAUAUCAAUAAGCGGAGGA